RNAcentral lists this non-coding RNA (50 nucleotides) under Cupriavidus sp. HPC(L). RNAcentral describes it as "nhaA-I RNA". It matches the Rfam family "nhaA-I RNA". Rfam says of the family: Acidobacteria, Alphaproteobacteria, Betaproteobacteria and Gammaproteobacteria, Verrucomicrobia, cand. division NC10. Downstream gene Lineage: Bacteria; Pseudomonadati; Pseudomonadota; Betaproteobacteria; Burkholderiales; Burkholderiaceae. The record is from Rfam by way of RNAcentral. RNAcentral also lists the same sequence under 1 other name.
GGGUGCUCACCCCACGGGGUGGCAGGAUUUGCGUCGGUCGGGCCGCCACG